GACGAACGCUGGCGGCGUGCUUAACACAUGCAAGUCGAACGGAAAGGCCCUGCUUUUGUGGGGUGCUCGAGUGGCGAACGGGAGAGUAACACGUGAGUAACCUGCCCUUGACUUUGGGAUAACUUCAGGAAACUGGGGCUAAUACCGGAUAGGAGCUCCUGCUGCAUGGGGGGGGUUGGAAAGUUUCGGCGGUUGGGGAUGGUCUCGCGGCGUAUCAGCUUGUUGGUGGGGUAGUGGCUGACCAAGGCUUUGACGGGUAGCCGGCCUGAGAGGGUGACCGGCCACAUUGGGACUGAGAUACGGCCCAGCCUCCUACGGGAGGCAGCAGUGGGGAAUAUUGCACAAUGGGCGGAAGCCUGAUGCAGCAACGCCGCGUGCGGGAUGACGGCCUUCGGGUUGUAAACCGCUUUCGCCUGUGACGAAGCGUGAGUGACGGUAAUGGGUAAAGAAGCACCGGCUAACUACGUG
Molecule: ribosomal RNA, 468 nt
Filed under: uncultured bacterium
Lineage: Bacteria
Description: partial 16S ribosomal RNA
Rfam family: Bacterial small subunit ribosomal RNA
Source: RNAcentral